RNA transcript from Nomascus leucogenys (northern white-cheeked gibbon), 3706 nucleotides. It is a transcript of the gene named nuclear RNA export factor 1, with no coding region annotated. Lineage: Eukaryota; Metazoa; Chordata; Mammalia; Primates; Hylobatidae. The record is from RefSeq and is a predicted model, not a curated record. The transcript is spliced from 22 exons.
CAUCAUUUCUGGGUGGGAGCGUCGAAGGGCCUAGGCAGCGAGUGGAGAGAGCCCACUGCCCAGUACCAGAACUGAAAGGGUUGGGCUAAUGGCUCUGCCAGGUAUCACUGCUGAUGCAGGCUAUUUUGGGCUCUGACACACAGCUGCCUCUAGGCAGGGGAGAACCAAGUGUUGCAACACUUCAUUAGCUUGGAAACUUCCUUUCACACAGGGGAGCAGGAUCCCAGAGGGGGUCCCUGAUUGGUGGUAACUUCCAGGACUAUCUCAAGCAGUGUUUGGACCUGUUUCAUCUGUAUCUUCCAACUAUUUGGCCGUAAUUCUUCCUUGAGCUAAGCGAGUCAGAAGCUCUGCCUGCUGCCAGGAGUAGAAGGUGUAGAAUUUUUUCCUAACUCCAGUUGAGGCUUUUGAUUCCCUCCAAGCACUUCACCAAAUCAAAGCCAGUCACAGAGAAUGGAGGAGACACCUGCCCAGAAUACCCACCGUCCAGGGAGAUUAAUGUGCUUUGUUCUUCCUGACCGAGACUCACAACCACAUUCUGAGGUCACUCGAGUGCCCCUGUCUCAUACAUGCCAAAGGAAGUUGAAGCUAUAGAGACAACAAUCAAUCAGGGGCUGGUGGUGGUGCUUUUGGGGGUCUAGGAGAGCCCAAGGCCCUGAUAUUUUAAACUCUCCUCCUCCUUGGCAUCUCCAGCAAGUUGCCGCUGCUGGUGAGCUUCGCUGUCUGCCCCGUUGACACGAUGGGUUUCUAGUAGGGGACGCCAUUGAUGGAAGAUCUGUGAAGACAAUGCUCGCCAAACCCCUGACAGAUGUCUCAUUUGACUCAGCAACUCAGGGCGGGGUGGGGGAAAUUCAUAAAACAAAUUCAUUUAUUUCACAAAUACAUGUUGAAUUUUUACUAUGUGCCAGGCAUAGUACCUGCCGAGUCAAGCCCUCGAGGAAAAAAAGCCAUUAAUUAGUCAACGUUCGAGCUCACAUUCUAAUUCUCAACUUCGUGAUUUGUUAAUCCAUCUUAUAGGCGAAGAAAGCGAGGCAUAGACAAGGAGCCGAGCUGAAACUGGCUAGAUUCCGGUAGGGGUCUGAGCCAUCUCUCCCACCUGGAGGCGCCGUCUCCAUUCCUCUGAAGCCCUUUGUGCGGCCCCCUUCCUCGCUGAGUUCUGGGCUGCAGCGGCAGCACUCUGCUCUAGCACUAACUCUGAAGCUGCCAGGGCAGCGUCAGCGGACAGAUGAAAAGGUGCCGGGACAUGCCGGCUGCCAGCCGGGGUUCCGCAAGCUCAGGCCUUAGGGCGGGUCGUGGAGGGGAGGCCCCGCCCCUCGCACGACGGCCUUAAGUGUGCGCACGCGUAGGGGGUGGCUCUUUCUCCGGGCGGCGGCACCGCCCACACCCUGGGACGUCAGCGGCGUGCGACGUGCUUUGCUGUAUAAAUACAGUGGCGCCCGGCCUAGAGACACUUCGGUCCUGAGCGCUUGGGAGUGCGGUCGUUUGCCGGCGUAGCGGCCAGAGCCUGAGCCAGCACUUGCUCUUCGGUGUGGCAUGGCGGACGAGGGGAAGUCGUACAGCGAACACGAUGAUGAGCGUGUUAAUUUCCCUCAAAGAAAGAAGAAAGGCCGGGGUCCCUUCCGGUGGAAAUAUGGUGAAGGAAACCGUAGGUCUGGAAGAGGCGGUUCUGGUAUUCGGUCUUCCCGCCUUGAGGAAGAUGAUGGAGAUGUGGCAAUGAGUGACGCCCAGGAUGGUCCCCGAGUACGAUACAACCCCUAUACCACCCGACCUAACCGUCGGGGUGAUACUUGGCAUGAUCGAGAUCGCAUUCAUGUUACUGUGCGGAGAGACAGAGCUCCUCCAGAGAGAGGAGGGGCUGGCACCAGCCAGGAUGGGACCUCAAAGAACUGGUUCAAGAUUACAAUUCCUUAUGGCAGAAAGUAUGACAAGGCAUGGCUCCUGAGCAUGAUUCAGAGCAAGUGCAGUGUGCCCUUCACCCCUAUUGAGUUUCACUAUGAGAAUACACGGGCCCAGUUCUUCGUUGAAGACGCCAGUACUGCCUCUGCAUUGAAGGCUGUCAACUAUAAGAUUUUGGAUCGGGAGAACCGAAGGAUAUCUAUCAUCAUCAACUCUUCUGCUCCACCCCACACGAUACUGAAUGAACUGAAGCCAGAACAAGUAGAACAGCUAAAGCUGAUCAUGAGCAAACGAUAUGAUGGCUCCCAACAAGCCCUUGACCUCAAGGGCCUCCGUUCAGACCCAGAUUUGGUGGCCCAGAACAUUGAUGUUGUCCUGAAUCGCAGAAGCUGUAUGGCAGCUACCCUGAGGAUCAUUGAAGAGAACAUCCCUGAGCUAUUGUCCUUGAACUUGAGCAACAACAGGCUAUACAGGCUGGAUGACAUGUCUAGCAUUGUUCAGAAGGCGCCCAACCUGAAGAUCCUAAACCUUUCUGGAAAUGAAUUGAAGUCUGAGCGGGAAUUGGACAAGAUAAAGGGGCUGAAGCUAGAAGAGCUCUGGCUCGACGGAAACUCCCUGUGUGACACCUUCCGAGACCAGUCCACCUACAUCAGCGCCAUUCGCGAACGAUUUCCCAAGUUAUUACGCCUGGAUGGUCAUGAGCUACCCCCACCAAUUGCCUUUGAUGUUGAAGCCCCCACGACGUUACCGCCCUGCAAGGGAAGCUAUUUUGGAACAGAAAACUUGAAGAGUCUGGUCUUGCACUUCCUGCAACAGUACUAUGCAAUUUACGACUCUGGAGACCGGCAAGGGCUCCUGGAUGCCUACCAUGAUGGGGCCUGCUGUUCCCUGAGCAUUCCUUUCAUUCCUCAGAACCCUGCCCGAAGCAGCUUGGCGGAGUAUUUCAAGGAUAGCAGAAAUGUGAAGAAGCUUAAAGACCCUACCUUGCGGUUCCGGCUGCUGAAGCACACGCGUCUCAACGUUGUUGCCUUCCUCAAUGAGUUGCCCAAAACCCAGCACGACGUCAAUUCCUUCGUGGUAGACAUAAGCGCCCAGACAAGCACACUGCUGUGUUUUUCUGUCAAUGGAGUCUUCAAGGAAGUGGAUGGAAAGUCUCGGGAUUCUUUGCGAGCCUUCACCCGGACAUUCAUUGCUGUUCCUGCUAGCAAUUCAGGGCUAUGUAUUGUAAACGACGAGCUAUUUGUGCGGAAUGCCAGUUCUGAAGAGACCCAAAGAGCCUUCGCUAUGCCUGCACCCACGCCUUCCUCCAGCCCGGUGCCCACCCUCUCUCCAGAGCAGCAGGAAAUGUUGCAAGCAUUCUCUACCCAGUCUGGCAUGAACCUCGAGUGGUCCCAGAAGUGCCUUCAGGACAACAACUGGGACUACACCAGAUCUGCCCAGGCCUUCACUCAUCUCAAGGCCAAGGGCGAGAUCCCAGAAGUGGCAUUCAUGAAGUGAUCAUAGUCAUGCCUCAGAAGCAGCCCCCCUGUAAAUAGUCCGUGGAUAUUACCGUCUGGUUGUCAUCUGUCAUCUCCUCCUGUCUGGCCCGAGGCCGCCCCGUGACUGUGACCGAGGGAGGGAGGGCUGCCUGAUCCCUCUCCUCGCCUGCCUUCUGGAAGACUUCAGAAGAUUGAGCCUCACUGGUGCCAGGAAGCCAAAGCUUACUUUGUAGAACUGACACUAAACUACCCGAAGGAUUUAGGUGCUUUGUGUACUUAACCCCAGGACCUCCUUACUUUUUAAUAUAAAGAGUGAUACUCCGUCUCAAAAAAAA